Molecule: non-coding RNA, 2177 nt
Organism: Cyanistes caeruleus (blue tit)
Lineage: Eukaryota; Metazoa; Chordata; Aves; Passeriformes; Paridae
Source: RefSeq, a predicted model, not a curated record
AGGAAAAAAAAAAUCCCUGUGCACUGGAAUAUAAUCUCAAGGGAAAGGAAAAUGGAAGGAAUGUGGAAGCAAAGAUUUGGGAUUUUACACGUGGAGAGAAGCAGGACAGGCUCCCCAUUCUGAAGGAAAAGGGGAAAAAGGAGAGUGCAUUGCCCAAGUGCUCCAUCUGCAACUCCAUCCCAUGGAGGAGCCGGAGGCACCGCAGCAGCGCUCACAGAACCGCCUCAGGAAUCCACAGAGCAGCCAGAUGCCAGCCCUGGAAAAACAUGGGAUGUUGAGAAUAGCUGCAUCCCGUGACUGGCAUCCAGAGAGGGGCCACGAGGCUGGAGCGAUGUUCAGGGAUGAGCAGAAGGGCCUCUAAUUUGCAGCAAAUUGUCCAAGCCCUUCCCCUGGCUGAAGUGGAGAGUGCAGUCCAGAAGAACCAACCUGCCCAAGGUGGGAACCAAGCAGCAGAAGGCUGAUGGAGACCAGGAUCACACAACAAAAUUUCUCACACCAAAGUCAGCCAAGAAAAGGGAGUUGGAAACUUUUAUUUUUAAGGGGCAUCUUCCUAACCAGGGCAUUGGGGCUGAGAAUCUCCCUUACCUUUUGCACUGGAACAUCAUAGCUGGAAUCAAUAAUCAAUAUUUUUAGUGUUAAAUCAGUACCUUAUGAAGAGGAAAAGCUGUUUAUUUCUUCCAUCUCCAUACUAAAAAAGGAACAAAGACUGGGAGAGCAGAAAUUUGUAAGUACCCCAUGGAGAGAAAAGCACUUUGUGAAAAAAACUCUGCCCCCAAUAAGCAGCUGCAAGAAAUACUUUUCAAUUUGGACUCUUCUGCUCAACGUGACUGUUUGCACACUUAAGUUCCUAUCAGUUGGAAUUUCAGCAAAAAAGAACACUGUCAUUCACUUUAGGAUAACUGGAGUACCCUGUUGUGCUAUGAUACAUCCACAUUUGUAAGUUAAAUAGAAUAAAAUGUGCCACAAAGUAAAACAAAACCAUUUCAAAACAGGAGAAGAUAUUUUUUGUAAGCAAAUUCAGGAGAAAACAUGUUUGGCAAAGGUAACAAGGAAUCAAGAAAUAAGGAAUGAAGAACAAUUAAGUAAAAUUUUAUGCUGAGCUUUUGAAGUACGUAGACAUGAAAGCUUCAUCAUUUUAUCAAACAGAAUUUUCCAAGUAUUUCCACACUUAUUAUUAUGCUUAUGGCAUUUCAUAAACAUAACUUUACAGGUAAUAGUUACUCUAUUAAAAAAUAGCUCAUCCAGAGUUUCAAAGGAGAGUCUCACUGUCUUUAGUCUUCCAGAACUCAUUCAUUCAAAAAAAUUCGUAUCUCUACUAUCUGCUCAUAUUUUAGCAGCUAAAAUGGCCACUAAGACAAUGAGAAAAGAGGUUUAAAUUAUUUUUGCUUUUAAUUUUAACGAUCCAAGGAAUAGAUAAAAUUGUAGAAGAUAUUAAUUGGAAAGAUUUAGUAGUUAUUGUAAGAACUACUGAAACCUUGUGUGACUAGAAAAAAAGUGGGCCUGAUCUGUAAAAAUCCCAGGGUGGAUGAUACCAAUGGAAAAAAAAACGUAAAAAAAUAUCCCCUGAUGUUUUAACAAGAAUAAAACCCUGUAUCACUCAGGUAGCAAAAACACUGGAAGAUUAUGCCUGGAAUACAAGGAUUGAAAGGAAGGAAUUUGUUUAGAAAAUACAGAAUAAGUAUAGUAAGGUAGCACUGUAAGCUAAUGAUGAAAAAAAGCAUGGUAUGACCUAGAGAGUAAAACACAAACAAUAUACAGAGGGCAGUAAAAAAUUCUUCAUUUUACAUUUUGAUAGUUUUUACAACAACAAAUAUUUUUAACCCAUAUUUUAUUGGCAGAGAGGUCGUCAUGUGAAAAGAAAAUAGUGAAUAUAAAUUCUGCUAAAAAAGGAUUAAAAUAAUUAUCCAUGGAACUAGAAGGCACCCUGUCAAGCCAUUAAAUAACAUGAAAUAAUGUGAACGUUUUCCUUAUGUUCUAGCAAGGACAAAACCAGCUGCACUAAGGAAUAAUACUGUGGUUAAACAAUGAAGAGCAUCUCACACAAGAGAUUUGGUUUAGUCUAUGAAUAAAGAAAAAGGCUGAAAAGAUAUAGGACUGCUCUUUAAUAAAAUAUGGAGAUGAGGUAAAUAGUAAAGAGGAUGCAGAGCUCUUUCAAGUAAAUUCUAUUUUAAAACGGA